Molecule: RNA transcript, 900 nt
Organism: Schistocerca gregaria
Lineage: Eukaryota; Metazoa; Arthropoda; Insecta; Orthoptera; Acrididae
Gene name: THAP domain-containing protein 1-like
Exons: 4
Source: RefSeq, a predicted model, not a curated record
CAGCACUCGUGGCUGCCGCAUCGAGGUCUCAAUGUGGGGCCGAGGCAGUUCCAGAGCCGUCGGCGUUAUACCGAAGUUUCUGAAGGUAAAGCGACUGUUCUAUCCCGGAAAGGCCCAACGCAUUUUCGGACGGACUGAGGAGGCCUUACUACGAGAGCGCAUUCAGCAGACCCGACGGGACUUGGCAAGCACAAACUAUCUCCUCUGAAAAAGAAAGAGCUGUCAAGCCGGUGGGUAGCCAAUAUGAGGCGAGAUAAGUGGCAGCCAACUCAAUAUAGUUACAUAUGGUCGUUUCAUUUUGAAGAUAGAUACAUGUAUAGUACAAACGAGAAAAGGCGACUUCUGGCAAACGCAGACCGACAAUAUUUACGUUUCCUGACCAUCUGGAGAAAACUAGUACAGAGACAACCAAGGAAACGGCCUGUCAGCGGAGAAUCAGCUUCCUUAUCAAAUGAACCAGGUGAAAGAGUGAAUCAGAAUGAUCAUACAGAUCAUUCUUAUUGUAUGCCUAGCCCCAAAAAAUUGAAACAGAAUUAUGAGGCACUACAGAAAAGGACUGAGAAGCUGAGGAAGCAAGCGGAACAUGCAACGCAAAGUGUUUCAAGAAAAAAGAAACAAAUUGUGACAUAUAAAACAGUAGUUGUAGGCCUAAAUAAGAGAUUUCAAGACUGUGCUACUGAAGUGAUAGGAUGUGACAAAACUAGUGAUAUUCUGAAGCACUUUUUGCAAUGCAAAACAAAUGUUCAAUUCCUGAAUAUCCUAAAGAAAUACAAUCAACAUUUACUCCGUCAAAGUUUAUAAUUAUUUGAGGAAGUCUGUCAAAUUACCCCAUCCUGCGCUGUCAAUUGGUCUUACUGAACUGUUUAAAAUUGUUUUUGACCUAAUCUAUAUGGCAUUGCA